This 497-nucleotide ribosomal RNA is filed under the name uncultured bacterium. RNAcentral describes it as "partial 16S ribosomal RNA". It matches the Rfam family "Bacterial small subunit ribosomal RNA", at positions 28 to 507 of the family's 1533-position model. The record is from RNAcentral.
GAUGAACGCUGGCGGCGUGCCUAAUACAUGCAAGUCGAGCGAAUAGACGAGGAGCUUGCCUCUCUGACGUUAGCGGCGGACGGGUGAGUAACACGUGGAUAACCUACCUAUAAGACUGGGAUACGUUCGGGAACCCGGAGAUAACAUAGGUUAAUAUAUUGAACCUGAUGGUUCAUUAGAGCACGACGUUUCUGAUGUCACUUAUAGAUGGUUCCGCGUCGCAUUAGCUAGUUGGUAAGGUAACGGCUUACCAAGGCAACGAUGCGUAGCUGACCUGAGAGGGUGAUCGGCCACACUGGAACUGAGACACGGUCCAGACUCCUACGGGAGGCAGCAGUAGGGAAUCUUCCGCAAUGGGCGAAAGCCUGACGGAGCAACGCCGCGUGAGUGAUGAAGGUCUUCGGAUCGUAAAACUCUGUUAGUAGGGAAGAACAGAUGUGUAAGUAACUAUGCACGUCUUGACGGUACCUAAUCAAAAAGCCACGGCUAACUACGUG